RNAcentral lists this ribosomal RNA (467 nucleotides) under uncultured bacterium. RNAcentral's name for it is "partial 16S ribosomal RNA". It matches the Rfam family "Bacterial small subunit ribosomal RNA", at positions 28 to 506 of the family's 1533-position model. The record is from RNAcentral.
GACGAACGCUGGCGGCGUGCUUAACACAUGCAAGUCGAACGGAAAGGCCCUGCUUUUGUGGGGUGCUCGAGUGGCGAACGGGUGAGUAACACGUGAGUAACCUGCCCUUGACUUUGGGAUAACUUCAGGAAACUGGGGCUAAUACCGGAUAGGAGCUCCUGCUGCAUGGUGGGGGUUGGAAAGUUUCGGCGGUUGGGGAUGGACUCGCGGCUUAUCAGCUUGUUGGUGGGGUAGUGGCUUACCAAGGCUUUGACGGGUAGCCGGCCUGAGAGGGUGACCGGCCAAAUUGGGACUGAGAUAGGGCCCAGACUCAUACGGGAGGCAGGAGUGGGGAAUAUUGAACAAUGGGCGGAAGCCAGAUGCAGCAACGACGGGUGCGGGAGGACGGCCUGCGGGUUGUAAACCGCUUUCGCCUGUGACGAAGCGUGAGUGACGGUAAUGGGUAAAGAAGCACCGGCUAACUACGU